Molecule: long non-coding RNA, 3933 nt
Organism: Mus musculus (house mouse)
Lineage: Eukaryota; Metazoa; Chordata; Mammalia; Rodentia; Muridae
Product: predicted gene, 33368
Exons: 3
Source: RefSeq, a predicted model, not a curated record
UACAUGUGUGUAUGGUGCAUACAUAUGUGUGUUUUAUAUUUGUGUGUUUGUUUGGAUGCAUGUGUAGGUCACACACGGUGGUCUUGUGGCUUGGGGGUAAAUGUGAGAACAUUGCAGUUAGCCCAAGAAUGACCACAGUUCUAUUUCAGUGAAAACCAGUUGCCCAGUGCAGGUGUGACUUCCUUUCCCGCAGGUCGGAGCCCUGCCCCAUGCCUGCCUGGUGUUACAGUUAUGCCUAGGUAGGUAUCAGAUCACUUUACCUCCUGCAAGAUUACAAACCCAACAGGACCAGUGAUUCCAUCGGUCCGAGGCUGAGGCAGGCUUGGUCUUCUGCUUUGGAUCAGAUCUGGAAAAUCUUGUUUUCCCAAGGUCACAUUUAUUUACAGUAAGAUGGAGCCCACCUUGUCGUACUUGUUUAAACCUUGGCAGCUGUGUGCCAGAAAUCUGUCCUAAAGGUCCUCCGGUUGCCUAAUCAAGGGCAACCGUGUGCCUUUUCACUGCAUAAUAAUAUCCCACUGCAUAGACUUAGCUUGGGUUACCUGCUGGCCUGCCAAUGGUCUUUUGGGCUCUAUUCAGCUUUUGGCUGGUGUGAAUGAGAAUUUAUCUGACAGACUUUUUGGUGAUUUCCCAGCCCCUCUCAAGGCUGAUGUGAGCAAAAGACCCUGCCUGGUCAACCAGCCUUCAAGGACAGUUCACAGUAUGGCUACGGAAAGGAAAAGGAGAGAAUUCGCAUCUCCAUCGACCUGUUGAUGGAGGCAGCCAUGAUCAGAUGUGGUACCUAAAGAGAUUCCUGCUGGGGAGGUCAGGAGAGCAGCAGGCGUGCUGGGAGUCCAGGCAUGCCCUGAACUGAACGCCAUCGCUCUGCUGUGUCCAGCUUCUCACCACACCAGUGCCUUGUCUGUAUUGUGUGUUACACCAGUCAGCAUUUUACUAUUGAGAACCAGCACAGGCUUCUCCCCCGCCCUGCCCCCAAAGCUCUAGUCUGAUCUAGAAAGUCUGUUUCCAGCAGGCAAAUUAACUGAGUGCUUUUAUCACCAGUCUUUUAGGUGAGGGGAGCUGAAGUGGGAAGAGAGUCAAGGGUUGAGACCCAAGGACCUCGGUAGAGAGAACUCUCAACCCCGGACAGCCAAACCAGGGUUCUAAUCCUGAGAUUUCCCCAGCACCCUCCAUGUGCCUGAGCAUGUGCCAUAUAUCUGAGCAUGCGCUGUGUAUCUGAGCAUGUGCCAUGUAUCUGAGCAUGCACCAUGUGCCUGAGCAUGCACAGGUCCUGCUGGUGGGCAGGGGCCAGAUCCAACAGGCUAAUAGCACAUUCAUUUUUCCUUCCUGCAAAUGAUCUCAGCUGGAAUCAAGUGGCCAACUUAUGACAUUAUGGGCUAAAAUUCUUCUUCGCCACGGGUCCCUGGGAGAGGGAGUCGGAUCUUCUUGCUGAGUCCUUUGCUUAGUGUCCAGUAAAGACACAGGUUGUCUCUAUGCUAUGAGUGGGCUCCCCACAGGUGACACACUUUAACAAGUCAUGAGUGGUGCCAGGACUCCGGCUAACAUCCUUAGAGGCUGCGGAAGGGACAUCACACCUCAGCUCAGAUUUGCACUACAGCCACACUGUGUGCCCUGUCCCACCCCCAAAGGCUCCAGCAGAGGCUAGCAUUUUCUGGAGGAUCACGACAGCCUUCCCAGGUAAGCAAUCACAUUCUCAGCUCAGAAAUACAGACAGUGGGAGCGGGGGAGGGGGUGUCAAAUGGCCAGCAUCCAGGGCUACAAUGGCAACAGAUGCUCUGGUCAGGCACGCUCUGGUAACACUCAUCACCAACCCUGCCAUUAGCAAAGGCAAACCCAUACUUACAAUCAAGUGGAUUGUGUGACUGGGGCCCGAGUGUUUCCAGGAACAUGGGCCACAUCCCUGUCUGCCAUCGGCCUCUUCCUCUUCACAGGCCCUCUGAGCUCGGCAGAGGGUUCUGUGACAUUAUGGGAUGGAACAGUCUGCUUCUCUCUCUCCCCCUCCCCCUCCCCCUCCCCCUCUCAAUGCUGUUUCUAGCUUUUAGGAAUGAGGUUGGCCCUGCUUUCCAUGGGAUAGUAAUGAAGUCAAGGUCUCAGGGCCAAAGGUUUUGAACAUUUUAAAUAGUCGGGCACAUGGCUGGCCAUGGUGUAAGCUCAGAGGAAACAGCCUGCAUUUGGCUUCAAGGAGUCUAGCUCAGCGCCAUCAGCUCAGAUGGCAAGUUGGCUGUGCUCAGUCAGUUGGCCAUGACUGUAGGCAUACAUUUUUUUCAACCUACUUUCAAUAAAUAUUCAACCUCUCCUCUUGUCCGUCACCCAGCAGAGCUAGUGAAGAGAAAAUUUAUUAGGAUAUGGGGGGAGUGGACCUGUUUAGCAGUAGUCCUUUGGGGGCAAGCCCGAUCUUCUCUGGCAGCAGCUCAGUCCCAUAGCAAACACCACAACUACGACUCAGCAGCUGCUGACCAGUCCUCCAGGCAGGCGGACGCCAGGCACCAACCAGCAGCUGUAGUUCAAUCCUGAAGAAACCGCAAGGCUCGCCAACCAGCCUGAGGCCACUCAAGUGGCAAGAGGCUCCAAGAACCUCACGAGAAGUUCUUUGGUGUUAGUGGGGUCGUCUAAAGGGACAACCAGGACAACCGCUCAUGGACGGAUAGUCAGUGCUGGCUGUUAGCCAGGAACUCGGCUGAAGCAUCAACAAGGACCCUCCUCUCCCUCUACCCAUCCCAUGCACUGGGGCGUCCAUGUGCCCACAGCAGCUUGGCUCCCAUGGAGAAGGAACUGUGAAGAAACUCAAAUGUCUGGUUGAAAAUUUGCGUUCCAAGUGAAAAUGAGGUUGCAGAAGAGUCACAUUCCUGGGGGAAUGGUACCUUUCCCACGACAAGUGUGCCACAGGACCAGAGAAGCAAGGACAGACAGAGGCCUCAGUUCAAGUCUAAGACCAGCCUGUCUCAGAAUCGAGCAGAACAAAACCCAAAGGUGGUAAUAAACGGCUAGAUCAAAGUUCUAAUCCAGCCUGGAGAGCAGGUGGCAUUUGACUCCGCACAAGCCGCUAGCCUGUGGGUGCCUCCGUUUUCCAUUCCAACAACAAAUGUCAGACGAAUGUAAUUAGUUAUAAUUCCCCCAGGGAUUCCUGGGUAGUUAGUUAUAAUUCCCCCAGGGAUUCCUGGGUAGUUAUAAUUCCCCCAGGGAUUCUAGGAUACAGCCAGGACAAGGACCCUCAGAGUGAGGGCUGUAACUCUUCAGCUGUUUUUAAUCUGAGAUUCAUUUCUUCAAACACAAGUUCAGCUGGAUGAAGCCUAAUGUGCAGAGCCAAGGCUGUUCCCCAAAUGGAAGGGCCCCUGAGUCCUGCCUACUCGGUCACACCCAACCUAAGGACCAGCUCCUCCCGACCUCAGACAAGAUUUCUGCCGGAUUUGAUUUAAAACUCCUGGAGAUGAGACAGUUUCUAAGACCAUUUGGAGACUUAAGCCUUCAGCGUCACGUGAGACUGUGAGGCUGUGAAGCCAACCAGCAACAGAGCAUGUCUGUUGUGAACAUCCUAGCUCAUCUGUCUUCUUGCUGAAACCACCCUGAGUUCUGCUUGGCUGUCGAUGGAACCAUGGAGUAAAGUCUGCCUCAGUCCCAGCAACUCAGCCAGCUGCUAACUCCAUCUACAUCCUCGAGAGACAUCUGGGUGUCUGGCCUUUCAGAGGCCAAGGGGAUGGUUCCAUCCAACACUCCAGUGUCCACAAAGCAGUGGGCAAAAUGUCAUUAUCAACAAUAGCCUCGGAACCACAGGCUGCUGUGAAGGAAGAUUGUUCAUGUUACACAGGAAGAUGGGGAUUCCACUUUGCAGACACACUGGGAAGGGUUUGGUGUCUCGGGGGGUUGUUGUUGGAGUUUAGAGUGGGGAGUUGUUUUGUUUUGUUUAAUCAGAAAUAAGACCCCAGCUAGCAGAUCCCA